GGAAGUGUCAAACGAUGAAGUGGACAUUCAAAGUCGUGCAAAAACUCAAUACAUUGUGUACGAAAAUUGUGAUGAUGUAUAUUUUAGCGCGCUGCAACUGAUGUCACACAUCAGUUCCAAACUGCGAGACCGCAACGAAAGACCUACCUUGUGAGUGGGAAAUAAUUAAUUAUCAAUCAGAAAAUGACUGACGUAUAUGAUGAUUUUCCUCAAUACGCUCAAGACCCGUUACAACAGUUCACUCAGCAAUACAAAGAUUUAUUUGGGGUGGAAUCGACGCAAAUUGAUCAAAAACGUAAAAAACGAGUUUCUCCAAAAAAUAAUAAGCGGAUAACUCCAAAAUCUUUUGUGGUGUGUAACGAACAGAAAGGCUUCAAAAUGAUCCAGAUAAAGGUGGUGGACCUGGUCUGCGAGCGUGACCGAGCAAAUUCGAACUCAUCAUCAUCUACGUCAGAUGCUGACAGCGAGUGCGUGUUACUUAGUGCCCAAUACGUAGUCCAUGACGCAGUGGACGAAAUAAUGGAUAUGACAGAAUGUGUAAUUAAAAAGAUAUCAAAAAAGUUAACUGGUUCUAACUUUUAAUUGAUUAUGUUUUUUAAUAUAGUUGUAAAUGUAAUGAAAUAAAUUAUUAUGCAAAAA
Molecule: long non-coding RNA, 639 nt
Organism: Ostrinia nubilalis (European corn borer)
Lineage: Eukaryota; Metazoa; Arthropoda; Insecta; Lepidoptera; Crambidae
Exons: 2
Source: RefSeq, a predicted model, not a curated record